Molecule: ribosomal RNA, 253 nt
Filed under: uncultured bacterium
Lineage: Bacteria
Also listed under: 1 other name
Description: partial 16S ribosomal RNA
Rfam family: Bacterial small subunit ribosomal RNA
Source: RNAcentral
GACGAACCGUGCGAACGUUGUUCGGAAUCACUGGGCUUAAAGGGCGCGUAGGCGGGCUGACAAGUCUGGGGUGAAAUCCCACGGCUCAACCGUGGAACUGCCUUAGAUACUGUCGGCCUCGAGGAAGGUAGGGGCAUGCGGAACUGUAGGUGGAGCGGUGAAAUGCGUUGAUAUCUACAGGAACUCCGGUGGCGAAAGCGGCGUGCUGGACCUUUUCUGACGCUGAGGCGCGAAAGCUAGGGGAGCAAACGGG